RNAcentral lists this ribosomal RNA (270 nucleotides) under uncultured archaeon. RNAcentral's name for it is "partial 16S ribosomal RNA". It matches the Rfam family "Archaeal small subunit ribosomal RNA", at positions 477 to 747 of the family's 1478-position model. The record is from RNAcentral.
CAGCACCUCAGGUGGUCAGGAUGAUUAUUGGGCCUAAAGCAUCCGUAGCCUGCUUUGUUAGUUUUCGGUUAAAUCCAUACGCUCAACGUAUGGGCUGCCGGGAAUACUGCAAAGCUAGGGAGUGGGAGAGGUAGACGGUACUCGGUAGGAAGGGGUAAAAUCCUUUGAUCUAUUGAUGACCACCUGUGGCGAAGGCGGUCCACCAGAACACGUCCGACGGUGAGGGAUGAAAGCUGGGGGAGCAAACCGGAUUAGAUACCCGCGUAGUCC